CAGCGCCACGAGUGGGAAUCGUGUUUAUUUGGCCUAAAGCGUCCGUAGCCGGUUUAGUAAAUCUUUUGUGAAAUCUUCAGGCUUAACUUGAAGGCGUGCAGAAGACACUGCUGAACUUGGAACCGGGAGGAGUCAGAAGUAUGGGAUGGGGAGCGGUAAAAUGCGAUAAUCCAUCUUAGACUACCUGUGGCGAAGGCGUCUGACUAGAAAGGAUUCGACGGUGAGGGACGAAAGCUAGGGGAGCGAUCCGGAUUAGAUACCCGAGUAGUCC
Molecule: ribosomal RNA, 271 nt
Filed under: uncultured archaeon
Lineage: Archaea
Description: partial 16S ribosomal RNA
Rfam family: Archaeal small subunit ribosomal RNA
Source: RNAcentral